GGCGGCGGAUCCGUGUACGAUAGUGUACGGAGCCGAGCCUGCUAAGCCGUUGGCGAUAUCGCCUCGCGGGUUCGAAUCCCGUCCCCGGCACCA
RNAcentral lists this transfer RNA (93 nucleotides) under Chloroflexota bacterium. Its description in RNAcentral is "Chloroflexi bacterium tRNA-Ser". The record is from RNAcentral. Lineage: Bacteria; Bacillati; Chloroflexota.